Molecule: ribosomal RNA, 253 nt
Filed under: uncultured bacterium
Lineage: Bacteria
Description: partial 16S ribosomal RNA
Rfam family: Bacterial small subunit ribosomal RNA
Source: RNAcentral
UACGUAGGGUGCAAGCGUUGUCCGGAAUUAUUGGGCGUAAAGAGCUCGUAGGCGGUCUGUCGCGUCGGCUGUGAAAUCCCGGAGCUCAACUCCGGGUCUGCAGUCGAUACGGGCAAGCUAGAAUUCGGUAGGGGAGACUGGAAUUCCUGGUGUAGCGGUGAAAUGCGCAGAUAUCAGGAGGAACACCGGUGGCGAAGGCGGGUCUCUGGGCCGAUAUUGACGCUGAGGAGCGAAAGCGUGGGGAGCGAACAGG